This is a long non-coding RNA of Helianthus annuus (common sunflower), 368 nucleotides long. RefSeq lists it as uncharacterized. The record is from RefSeq and is a predicted model, not a curated record. The transcript has 3 exons. NCBI's taxonomy places the organism in Eukaryota, Viridiplantae, Streptophyta, Magnoliopsida, Asterales, Asteraceae.
UUGCUGCUCAUACCCUUUUCCUUAUAUAUUGUGAGUGGAAGGACAGAUUAGAGAAGAGAAGACAUAUAAAUUAUUAUUUAGUUAAUACAGAUAGAAAUGGUAGCAUGUGCUCAAAAAGCACUUGCAUUCGAAGAAAGAUAGAUGUAAAAGAUGGUGCAAGAGUCGAAGAGGCUUAAAAGAGAAGCCAUGAAGAAUUCAAAGGAAGAUGUGGUUUCAGCUUUGUGAGUUUUGAUUUGGGAUCGGGUUACUGACCCCAUUAAUCCUCGAUUAGGGUCAUCUCUAGCAACAUGAAAGAAACGAUCCAAGAAUGUGUUUAUGAGUACAUCAGUUUUGUGACGGGUGAGUCAAAUAGUCUUGCCAAAGUAAAU